GAGGAAAUGAGAUGGUGUUUAAUACCUUCUUUCUCUUAUUCACAGAGGUGGAGAACCACACUUGAAGGACUCUCAGCUGCUAGACGUGUGAAUCAAUGCCAAGUCCUUGUCCUCCUCAGACAGCCUAGCGAAGGUGCAGGAGG
Molecule: long non-coding RNA, 143 nt
Filed under: Sinocyclocheilus grahami
Lineage: Eukaryota; Metazoa; Chordata; Actinopteri; Cypriniformes; Cyprinidae
Description: lncRNA (ENSSGRG00000014347.1)
Source: RNAcentral